GAGAAUUUCAAUUAGACCACAGUCUUAGCACCUUCCAGCACCUACAGAUUUGAAAGUUACCGAGUUCUGAGGUAUUGCCAGUGCCUGAGAAGAUGCUGACUUUGGCCAUGUUUCAAAGCAGUGCGUGUAUACAACUUUACCGCAGAGGCCACGAAGCUGCACAGAAACCACUAUCCCUCGACAUACCACAACCCAGCUAACUGCCCUAUGGAAGAAAUGGAAUGAAUUUAGUGCACUGAAAUCACCUUGGAAUUCUCAGAGUCCAUGUGCCCACUGACUGCUUCUUACGUGACAUUUUCUGAGCCAAAUUUCCCCAUGUGCUUCGUGGUAAGGGUGUACUCAUCCUGCAUUUUGGACAUUUCCUAGGACUGCUGAAACAAACGAAAGCAAGUCAGGACAGUGUUGAGAAGGAAGAGAAAUAAUAAAAGACCCCUUCUCAGCCAAACAUUCAAACUCUGGCAGUUUCAGCAAAAUAAAGGGGUGUAGAAAAAGUCCCACCAUAGCCCUGGCCCUGCCAUGUAAGAAGGCAUGUCGCAAAAUUGUUCUACUUAGAAAAAAGUUUUAACUGAAU
Molecule: long non-coding RNA, 571 nt
Filed under: Mustela putorius furo (domestic ferret)
Lineage: Eukaryota; Metazoa; Chordata; Mammalia; Carnivora; Mustelidae
Description: lncRNA (ENSMPUG00000025735.1)
Source: RNAcentral